RNAcentral lists this non-coding RNA (26 nucleotides) under Macaca fascicularis (crab-eating macaque). Lineage: Eukaryota; Metazoa; Chordata; Mammalia; Primates; Cercopithecidae. The record is from RNAcentral. RNAcentral also lists the same sequence under 1 other name.
UGGUUUUGGAAGUUUCCACGGAAGCC